CAAGACGUAGCUUAAACAAAAGCAUUCAGCUUACACCUGAAAGAUAUCCGCUAACCACAGAUCGUCUUGA
Molecule: transfer RNA, 70 nt
Filed under: Passer montanus (Eurasian tree sparrow)
Lineage: Eukaryota; Metazoa; Chordata; Aves; Passeriformes; Passeridae
Also listed under: 2 other names
Description: tRNA-Val
Rfam family: tRNA
About the family: Transfer RNA (tRNA) molecules are approximately 80 nucleotides in length. Their secondary structure includes four short double-helical elements and three loops (D, anti-codon, and T loops). Further hydrogen bonds mediate the characteristic L-shaped molecular structure. tRNAs have two regions of fundamental functional importance: the anti-codon, which is responsible for specific mRNA codon recognition, and the 3' end, to which the tRNAs corresponding amino acid is attached (by aminoacyl-tRNA synthetases). tRNAs cope with the degeneracy of the genetic code in two manners: having more than one tRNA (with a specific anti-codon) for a particular amino acid; and 'wobble' base-pairing, i.e. permitting non-standard base-pairing at the 3rd anti-codon position.
Source: RNAcentral